RNAcentral lists this ribosomal RNA (633 nucleotides) under uncultured bacterium. RNAcentral's name for it is "bacterial SSU rRNA". It matches the Rfam family "Bacterial small subunit ribosomal RNA", at positions 211 to 836 of the family's 1533-position model. The record is from RNAcentral.
GCUACCGCUUUUGGAUGGGCCCGCGGCGCAUUAGCUAGUUGGUGGGGUAAAGGCUUACCAAGGCAAUGAUGCGUAGCCGAACUGAGAGGUUGAUCGGCCACAUUGGGACUGAGACACGGCCCAAACUCCUACGGGAGGCAGCAGUAGGGAAUCUUCCACAAUGGGCGAAAGCCUGAUGGAGCAACGCCGCGUGGGUGAAGAAGGUCUUCGGAUCGUAAAACCCUGUUGUUAGAGAAGAAAGUGCGUGAGAGUAACUGUUCACGUUUCGACGGUAUCUAACCAGAAAGCCACGGCUAACUACGUGCCAGCAGCCGCGGUAAUACGUAGGUGGCAAGCGUUAUCCGGAUUUAUUGGGCGUAAAGGGAACGCAGGCGGUCUUUUAAGUCUGAUGUGAAAGCCUUCGGCUUAACCGGAGUAGUGCAUUGGAAACUGGGAGACUUGAGUGCAGAAGAGGAGAGUGGAACUCCAUGUGUAGCGGUGAAAUGCGUAGAUAUAUGGAAGAACACCAGUGGCGAAAGCGGCUCUCUGGUCUGUAACUGACGCUGAGGUUCGAAAGCGUGGGUAGCAAACAGGAUUAGAUACCCUGGUAGUCCACGCCGUAAACGAUGAAUGCUAAGUGUUGGAGGGUUUCCG